GCCGGGGCUGCUGCCCGGCGAAGUGCCGCCGGCUCCGCGAGCGAGGCAGCCCGCGAGCUGCCCGGUGCCCGCGCUGGCGGAGCCGCCUCGGAGGUGCCCUUCCCUGCCCGCAUCCCUCCCUCCCCGCCGGGCCUGCCCGCGCGAGGCCCCUCGUCCGCUGCCUCCCCGCCUCGCAGGCCCGCUCGCCACCCGCGAGCUGACGCAGCGCCCAGGAACGCGCCGGGCAGCGGGCAGCACAUCUGGGCUUGUCCCACGCGCCCGCGGCCCGGCCAGGCACGCGGCGUGGGAAGGCCGCUCCGGCUCGGGGGAGCCCGGGGGGCGGCAAGGCCCCGCCAGCGCGCUCCGAAUCCCAGCCCUGGGCUGGAGCCGCGGCGCCGUGGCUCUUGGCUCGUGGCGCGAGCGCUGGGCGGACAAGAUGCCCCCCUGCCUUUUCUGGUCGAGUUCCCGGGCAGCCCGGCUUGUUGCUGUGCUGGUCUGAGCAGCGCUGCGCAAUCCUGCCGCUGCCUUGAAAGCAGCCAGCUGGAAGCUGCUAUUUUAGGACCUAAAAAUUGAAGCGAGGAAGAAGAAGAGGAGGAAGAAGGAGAAGAACAUUAAUGUGAGCGCAGGAAUGCUUUAGCAGGAUUUCACUCAAGGGGAAAAAGAACAUAAAAAGUGAUGAUUCAUCUUCAGCCGAGCAGAGCUUUGUGUUUCUAUAAUCGAUGAAGCAACACUGGAAGUGCGAGGCGAGGCUGGGGAGAGGCGAUGAACCCCUGCAGCUCUCCGAUGAGGCUGGGGAGAGGCGAUGAAGGAGCCCGUCCAUCCCCUGGGGGCUGCUGGAUGCCUGGGCCUUGCGGGAGGCGGCGGGUCUGGGACUCAGGGCUUCAGGGCCGGGGGGCUGCGAGCGGUCGGCGCCUGGGGACAUGGGCCCUGGCUGCCCUCGCACACGGCGUCCCGAGCCCCAGGGGCUGGGAACGGAGCCCCGGGCCGGGCCCUCGGCGCCCUCCCGGCGUCCGGACGCGUUUUGAUUCAUGGUUUCGAUCCAAACCUGUUUAGCAGCAACAAAGACAAAAGGUCAUGAGAAAAGCGUAUUGCAUCCAAGCUUAUGAAAGCAGGCUGAAAUUUCCUCUUCCACUUCUGGGAUUUAUCUGCUCCUUUCCCAUUAAAAUUAAUGAUAACAGUG
Molecule: long non-coding RNA, 1159 nt
Organism: Dromaius novaehollandiae (emu)
Lineage: Eukaryota; Metazoa; Chordata; Aves; Casuariiformes; Dromaiidae
Exons: 2
Source: RefSeq, a predicted model, not a curated record